RNAcentral lists this ribosomal RNA (253 nucleotides) under uncultured bacterium. Its description in RNAcentral is "partial 16S ribosomal RNA". It matches the Rfam family "Bacterial small subunit ribosomal RNA", at positions 524 to 776 of the family's 1533-position model. The record is from RNAcentral.
UACGUAGGGGGCAAGCGUUAUCCGGAUUCACUGGGUGUAAAGGGAGCGUAGACGGCGACGCAAGUCUGGAGUGAAAGCCCGGGGCCCAACCCCGGGACUGCUCUGGAAACUGCGUCGCUGGAGUACGGGAGGGGCAGGCGGAAUUCCUGGUGUAGCGGUGAAAUGCGUAGAUAUCAGGAGGAACACCGGCGGCGAAGGCGGCCUGCUGGACCGUGACUGACGUUGAGGCUCGAAAGCGUGGGGAGCAAACAGG